This 496-nucleotide ribosomal RNA is filed under the name uncultured bacterium. RNAcentral describes it as "partial 16S ribosomal RNA". It matches the Rfam family "Bacterial small subunit ribosomal RNA", at positions 29 to 507 of the family's 1533-position model. The record is from RNAcentral.
AUGAACGCUGGCGGCGUGCCUAAUACAUGCAAGUCGAGCGAACAGACGAGGAGCUUGCUCCUCUGACGUUAGCGGCGGACGGGUGAGUAACACGUGGAUAACCUACCUAUAAGACUGGGAUAACUUCGGGAAACCGGAGCUAAUACCGGAUAAUAUAUUGAACCGCAUGGUUCAAUAGUGAAAGACGGUUUUGCUGUCACUUAUAGAUGGAUCCGCGCCGCAUUAGCUAGUUGGUAAGGUAACGGCUUACCAAGGCAACGAUGCGUAGCCGACCUGAGAGGGUGAUCGGCCACACUGGAACUGAGACACGGUCCAGACUCCUAAGGGAGGCAGCAGUAGGGAAUCUUCCGCAAUGGGCGAAAGCCUGACGGAGCAACGCCGCGUGAGUGAAGAAGGUCUUCGGAUCGUAAAACUCUGUUAUUAGGGAAGAACAAAUGUGUAAGUAACUAUGCACGUCUUGACGGUACCUAAUCAGAAAGCCACGGCUAACUACGUG